This 254-nucleotide ribosomal RNA is filed under the name uncultured bacterium. Its description in RNAcentral is "partial 16S ribosomal RNA". It matches the Rfam family "Bacterial small subunit ribosomal RNA", at positions 524 to 776 of the family's 1533-position model. The record is from RNAcentral.
GACGGGGGGGGGCAAGCGUUGUUCGGAAUUACUGGGCGUAAAGGGCUUGUAGGCGGCCAACUAAGUCCGACGUGAAAUCCCAAGGCUUAACCUUGGAACUGCGUCGGAUACUGGAUGGCUUGAAUUCGGGAGAGGGAUGCAGAAUUCCAGGUGUAGCGGUGAAAUGCGUAGAUAUCUGGAGGAAUACCGGUGGCGAAGGCGGCAUCCUGGACCGACAUUGACGCUGAGGAGCGAAAGCUAGGGGAGCAAACGGG